CUGGUCCAUGCAGACGUUCAGUUCCACAAGAACAGAGUUUUCCAUCAGGACAUUAAGAUGGAAACUGUCCUGACUGAAGAAGAACUCUGAGAACCACGAGCAUGAGUCAGUGACUUUGGUUGUUGCUGCCUGACAGUCGACGGUUCUUACAAAGAUUUGUUCCUCCAGACUUCAUCCUCCUCUGGAAAUAUGAAGCAGCUCUGAUCACCAUCUGGCAGUUUGUGGUGCUGCUGUUCUACAUCCAGCUCCUCAGCACUAAGGAGGAGGACACAGAGGUGUCCAGGAGAGGGAGACAGAAAAAGAGGUCCCAGGAUGAGGACCUUUUCCACUUCACAGAAAAGGAGCUGGACAGGCUGCUGGAGUGAUGGCAGGGAAACCCCGGCCUGUAGGACAACAGGCGCUGCAACUUUCUGGACAGG
Molecule: long non-coding RNA, 419 nt
Organism: Thalassophryne amazonica
Lineage: Eukaryota; Metazoa; Chordata; Actinopteri; Batrachoidiformes; Batrachoididae
Exons: 2
Source: RefSeq, a predicted model, not a curated record